RNAcentral lists this ribosomal RNA (445 nucleotides) under uncultured bacterium. Its description in RNAcentral is "partial 16S ribosomal RNA". It matches the Rfam family "Bacterial small subunit ribosomal RNA", at positions 354 to 796 of the family's 1533-position model. The record is from RNAcentral.
GUGAGGAAUAUUGCGCAAUGGAGGCAACUCUGACGCAGCCAUGCCGCGUGCAGGAAGAAGGCGCUACGCGUUGUAAACUGCUUUUAACCGGGAAGAAACCCCAGGACGUGUCCUGGGUUGACGGUACCGGAGGAAUAAGCACCGGCUAACUUCGUGCCAGCAGCCGCGGUAAUACGAAGGGUGCAAGCGUUAUCCGGAUUCAUUGGGUUGAAAGGGUGCGUAGGCGGAGCGUUAAGUCAGGGGUGAAAUCCUGCAGCUUAACUGUAGACUUGCCAUUGAUACUGGCGCUCUUGAGUGCGCUUGAAGUGGGCGGAAUGUGCCGUGUAGCGGUGAAAUGCUUAGAUAUGGCACAGAACACCAAUUGCGAAGGCAGCUCACUAAGGCGAUACUGACGCUGAGGCACGAAAGCGUGGGGAUCGAACAGGAUUAGAUACCCUUGUAGUCC